ANUGCAGUCGAACGAACUUCCGUUAAUUGAUUAUGACGUACUUGUACUGAUUGAGAUUUUAACACGAAGUGAGUGGCGAACGGGUGAGUAACACGUGGGUAACCUGCCCAGAAGUAGGGGAUAACACCUGGAAACAGAUGCUAAUACCGUAUAACAGAGAAAACCGCAUGGUUUUCUUUUAAAAGAUGGCUCUGCUAUCACUUCUGGAUGGACCCGCGGCGUAUUAGCUAGUUGGUGAGGUAAAGGCUCACCAAGGCAGUGAUACGUAGCCGACCUGAGAGGGUAAUCGGCCACAUUGGGACUGAGACACGGCCCAGACUCCUACGGGAGGCAGCAGUAGGGAAUCUUCCACAAUGGACGCAAGUCUGAUGGAGCAACGCCGCGUGAGUGAAGAAGGGUUUCGGCUCGUAAAGCUCUGUUGUUAAAGAAGAACGUGGGUAAGAGUAACUGUUUACCCAGUGACGGUAUUUAACCAGAAAGCCACGGCUAACUACGUGCCAGCAGCCGCGGUAAUACGUAGGUGGCAAGCGUUAUCCGGAUUUAUUGGGCGUAAAGCGAGCGCAGGCGGUCUUUUAAGUCUAAUGUGAAAGCCUUCGGCUCAACCGAAGAAGUGCAUUGGAAACUGGGAGACUUGAGUGCAGAAGAGGACAGUGGAACUCCAUGUGUAGCGGUGAAAUGCGUAGAUAUAUGGAAGAACACCAGUGGCGAAGGCGGCUGUCUGGUCUGCAACUGACGCUGAGGCUCGAAAGCAUGGGUAGCGAACAGGAUUAGAUACCCUGGUAGUCCAUGCCGUAAACGAUGAUUACUAAGUGUUGGAGGGUUUCCGCCCUUCAGUGCUGCAGCUAACGCAUUAAGUAAUCCGCCUGGGGAGUACGACCGCAAGGUUGAAACUCAAAAGAAUUGACGGGGGCCCGCACAAGCGGUGGAGCAUGUGGUUUAAUUCGAAGCUACGCGAAGAACCUUACCAGGUCUUGACAUCUUCUGACAGUCUAAGAGAUUAGAGGUUCCCUUCGGGGACAGAAUGACAGGUGGUGCAUGGUUGUCGUCAGCUCGUGUCSUGAGAUGUUGGGUUAAGUCCCGCAACGAACGCAACCCUUAUUACUAGUUGCCAGCAUUAAGUUGGGCACUCUAUUGAGACUGCCGGUGACAAACCGGAGGAAGGUGGGGAUA
This 1170-nucleotide ribosomal RNA is filed under the name Pediococcus pentosaceus. Its description in RNAcentral is "bacterial SSU rRNA". It matches the Rfam family "Bacterial small subunit ribosomal RNA", at positions 54 to 1181 of the family's 1533-position model. The record is from RNAcentral. Lineage: Bacteria; Bacillati; Bacillota; Bacilli; Lactobacillales; Lactobacillaceae.